GUCUACAAACAAACCACCCUGAACACAUCUGAUCUCAUCUUGAAGCUAAGCAGGUCAGGCCCAGCUAGUACUUGGGACAGGGAGUAAUGACAACGAAAAUGACUUAGCUUUGUAAUUU
RNAcentral lists this ribosomal RNA (118 nucleotides) under Cavia porcellus (domestic guinea pig). The record is from RNAcentral. Lineage: Eukaryota; Metazoa; Chordata; Mammalia; Rodentia; Caviidae.